RNAcentral lists this ribosomal RNA (505 nucleotides) under uncultured bacterium. RNAcentral describes it as "partial 16S ribosomal RNA". It matches the Rfam family "Bacterial small subunit ribosomal RNA", at positions 28 to 507 of the family's 1533-position model. The record is from RNAcentral.
GACGAACGCUGGCGGCGUGCCUAAUACAUGCAAGUAGAACGCACAGUUUAUACCGUAGCUUGCUACACCAUAAACUGUGAGUUGCGAACGGGUGAGUAACGCGUAGGUAACCUGCCUGGUAGCGGGGGAUAACUAUUGGAAACGAUAGCUAAUACCGCAUAAUAUUGAUGAUUGCAUGAUAAUUGAUUGAAAGAUGCUAUUGCAUCACUACCAGAUGGACCUGCGUUGUAUUAGCUAGUAGGUGAGGUAACGGCUCACCUAGGCGACGAUACAUAGCCGACCUGAGAGGGUGAUCGGCCACACUGGGACUGAGACACGGCCCAGACUCCUACGGGAGGCAGCAGUAGGGAAUCUUCGGCAAUGGGCGAAAGUCUGACCGAGCAACGCCGCGUGAGUGAAGAAGGUUUUCGGAUCGUAAAGCUCUGUUGUCAGAGAAGAACGGGUGUGAGAGUGGAAAGUUCACACUGUGACGGUAUCUUACCAGAAAGGGACGGCUAACUACGUG